This is a non-coding RNA of Phrynosoma platyrhinos (Desert horned lizard), 72 nucleotides long. Lineage: Eukaryota; Metazoa; Chordata; Lepidosauria; Squamata; Phrynosomatidae. The record is from the annotation of a GenBank genome assembly.
GCCAGUGUGGUGUAGUGGUCUAAGCGUUGGACUAGGACUCUGGAGACCAGAGUUUGAAUCCCGGCUCAGCCA